This 472-nucleotide ribosomal RNA is filed under the name uncultured Acidithiobacillus sp. RNAcentral's name for it is "bacterial SSU rRNA". It matches the Rfam family "Bacterial small subunit ribosomal RNA", at positions 447 to 916 of the family's 1533-position model. Lineage: Bacteria; Pseudomonadati; Pseudomonadota; Acidithiobacillia; Acidithiobacillales; Acidithiobacillaceae. The record is from RNAcentral.
GGUGGUUCCUAAUACUAGCUGCUGUUGACGUGAACCCAAGAAGAAGCACCGGCUAACUCCGUGCCAGCAGCCGCGGUAAUACGGGGGGUGCAAGCGUUAAUCGGAAUCACUGGGCGUAAAGGGUGCGUAGGCGGUACGUUAGGUCUGUCGUGAAAUCCCCGGGCUCAACCUGGGAAUGGCGGUAGAAACCGGCGCACUAGAGUAUGGGAGAGGGUGGUGGAAUUCCAGGUGUAGCGGUGAAAUGCGUAGAGAUCUGGAGGAACAUCAGUGGCGAAGGCGGCCACCUGGCCCAAUACUGACGCUGAGGCACGAAAGCGUGGGGAGCAAACAGGAUUAGAUACCCUGGUAGUCCACGCCCUAAACGAUGAAUACUAGAUGUUUGGUACCUAGCGUACUGAGUGUCGUAGCUAACGCGAUAAGUAUUCCGCCUGGGAAGUACGGCCGCAAGGUUAAAACUCAAAUGAAUUGACGG